CAGUAGCCGCGGGAAUACGUAGGGUGCAAGCGUUAAUCGGAAUUACUGGGCGUAAAGCGUGCGCAGGCGGCUUUUUAAGUCGGAUGUGAAAUCCCUGAGCUUAACUUAGGAAUUGCAUUCGAUACUGGGAAGCUAGAGUAUGGGAGAGGAUGGUAGAAUUCCAGGUGUAGCGGUGAAAUGCGUAGAGAUCUGGAGGAAUACCGAUGGCGAAGGCAGCCAUCUGGCCUAAUACUGACGCUGAGGUACGAAAGCAUGGGGAGCAAACAGGAUUAGAUACCCGCGUAGUCCCUGUCUCUUAUAC
This 301-nucleotide ribosomal RNA is filed under the name uncultured bacterium. Its description in RNAcentral is "partial 16S ribosomal RNA". It matches the Rfam family "Bacterial small subunit ribosomal RNA", at positions 509 to 807 of the family's 1533-position model. The record is from RNAcentral.